GACGAACGCUGGCGGCGUGCUUAACACAUGCAAGUCGAACGGAAAGGCCCUGCUUUUGUGGGUUGCUCGAGUGGCGAACGGGUGUGUAACACGUGAGUAACCUGCCCUUGACUUUGGGAUAUCUUCAGGAAACUGGGGCUAAUACCGGAUAGGAGCUCCUGCUGCAUGGUGGGGGUUGGAACGUUUCGGCGGUUGGGGAUGGACUCGCGGCUUAUCAGCUUGUUGGUGGGGUAGUGGCUUACCAAGGCUUUGACGGGUAGCCGGCCUGAGAGGGUGACCGGCAACAUUGGGACUGAGAUACGGCCCAGACGCCAACGGGAGGCAGCAGUGGGGAAUAUUGCACAAUGGGCGGAAGCCUGAGGCAGCAACGCCGCGUGCGGGAUGACGGCCUUCGGGUUGUAAACCGCUUUCGCCUGUGACGAAGCGUGAGUGACGGUAAUGGGUAAAGAAGCACCGGCUAACUACGUG
RNAcentral lists this ribosomal RNA (468 nucleotides) under uncultured bacterium. Its description in RNAcentral is "partial 16S ribosomal RNA". It matches the Rfam family "Bacterial small subunit ribosomal RNA", at positions 28 to 507 of the family's 1533-position model. The record is from RNAcentral.